AUCCUGACAAAGCGCCAGGAAUGCGUCACUUUCCAGCUGUGAGCAAACCCACGACUCUACCAGCACGGAUCGUUCUGCAUUUGACGUUGAAAGCGAAUAAAGUGUUAGAUUCGAUCGCAGCUGUGUUGGUGGACUCUUGUGCCAUAUUGCCAAUAUGUGCGCUUUGAACUACAUUGGUUAGGGGCCAGAAAGGAGGAUUUGGAUUUGGAUUUGCAUAACUGCCACUGACUUCCCCAUCGGAAACUGCUCCGCUGCCGUCUUGGCUGGUGACGGAUAAUAGGUUCGCUCUGGGUUUAUUCGACGUAGAAGUGCGCGAUUGAGAUAUACCAAGGGGCAAGCCGGAACCUGACAGCACAGGAUUUGUUGCUUGUCUUCCAGCAGGUACUCGUGACUGAGACGGCUGCUUUGAGCCGGCUUUUUUUCCAGGUUUGGCGAAAGGUAGCUCUCGUUUGGGGGGUAAAAUCUGACUAAGAGAGUUUACAUCAGGCAAUGCUGGGGCUGUAGCUGGCCUGUCUUUGGAGGAAGAGUGAGUCAUUUUCCUAGGGCCUGGGUGGCUUGAAGUGAAAGGGGACAUAUCUCUUUCCACUGGGCGGAAGGCGGACGAUGGGCGUUGUAUGUCUAGAUAAGGCGAAGCAGAUGUUGUAUUGUUGAGAGUAAUGCCUCUUUGAGGGAUGGAUAGCGACGAAGUGUGAGGUCUAUCAUGCGCCUCAUGAUAGGAGCCUACAUUUGUUGACCCAUUGCUCAAUGAACUAAUAAGUGACCCUGACGUGCUGGGCUCUGUCAGGGAAGGUGACCGUGGUCGUGUCUGGUGUUGGUCUACUGCUACUGCGGGCCGACUUGAGAGUGCUUGCGACAUUGUAUAUCCACUAUUGUUUAGCUUCAGUAGGCUAGGUAUUUGGGAAGAGGGAGAGAAUGGUCGAUUAGACGAAGCAUGUUGAGGUGGGACUGAUACAGAAUGUGUGAUUGGGCAACCAAGUUUCGCCAAUAUGGAUAUAGCAUUGGAGUAGUCAGAAUCGGAGGAGAACUUGACCUGAAAACGUCGGGUCUAAAGCGUGCUUAGCGGCAUACAGAUAGACUGGUGGAUCUCAUAUUGGUACCUGAUCGUUUUUCAUGGGAUAGCGCACUGCUAGACAAGGGCACUUUACGAUAAUGGCCACUGGGGGUUUCACAGUCUGGACGAAAGAAUAGGAUGACCCCACUGCUGCUUCCCUGGC
RNAcentral lists this small RNA (1214 nucleotides) under Histoplasma ohiense. Its description in RNAcentral is "hypothetical lncRNA". Lineage: Eukaryota; Fungi; Ascomycota; Eurotiomycetes; Onygenales; Ajellomycetaceae. The record is from RNAcentral.